This 560-nucleotide ribosomal RNA is filed under the name uncultured bacterium. Its description in RNAcentral is "bacterial SSU rRNA". It matches the Rfam family "Bacterial small subunit ribosomal RNA", at positions 338 to 916 of the family's 1533-position model. The record is from RNAcentral.
CCUACGGGAGGCAGCAGUGGGGAAUCUUGCACAAUGGGGGAAACCCUGAUGCAGCGACGCCGCGUGAGCGAUGAAGCCCUUCGGGGUGUAAAGCUCUUUCGGCAGGGAAGAUUAUGACGGUACCUGCAGAAGCAGCUGCGGCUAACUACGUGCCAGCAGCCGCGGUAAUACGUAGGCAGCAAGCGUUGUUCGGAGUUACUGGGCGUAAAGGGUGUGUAGGCGGCGUCUUAAGUUUGGUGUGAAAUCUCCCGGCUCAACCGGGAGGGUGCGCCGAAUACUGAGGCGCUAGAGUGCGGGAGAGGAAAGUGGAAUUCCUGGUGUAGCGGUGAAAUGCGUAGAUAUCAGGAGGAACACCGGUGGUGUAGACGGCUUUCUGGACCGUAACUGACGCUGAAACACGAAAGCGUGGGUAGCAAACAGGAUUAGAUACCCUGGUAGUCCACGCCCUAAACGAUGCAUAUUUGGUGUGGGUCAUUCAGUUGAUCCGUGCCGGAGCUAACGCGUUAAAUAUGCCGCCUGGGGAGUACAGUCGCAAGGCUGAAACUCAAAGGAAUUGACGG